UUUUACAGAAGAAGCUGCUCUUGCCGUUGAAGGAAAAAGCGAUGCCAUUGAAUGGCUUGGAGGAAUCACUGUAGUUGGAGGAGGGGCGGCUACUUUUGAUUGAGAGAUGGCCAGUCCAGGAGUUGCAGAGCUAAGCGUAGCAGUCGUAAGGCCUGCCAGAACCUCCAAAACCCUCAAUCAAUAGGAGUUUUUUUCCCUCCCUUCUACUAUGUAUACUAUACAACACUUUUUUCUAUUUUUAGGAUAUGAGGAGACCUCCCCUUUCCUCUAGUACUGACCUAACAUCAGUCAUCCGUUGGUCUACCUCAGAAACUCCCCACUCUCGCCC
This 328-nucleotide long non-coding RNA is filed under the name Elaeis guineensis (African oil palm). Its description in RNAcentral is "long non-coding RNA (EGUI_LNC062942)". Lineage: Eukaryota; Viridiplantae; Streptophyta; Magnoliopsida; Arecales; Arecaceae. The record is from RNAcentral.